AUAUGUGUGCUGUGUCAGUGCUGCACACACUUUAAGAGCUGUAGUGCUGAUCAGAGUGUGUUCAGUCCUUUCAGAGCCACUGACACGCAGCACAAUGAUGAUGGUACUGAUUCUACUGCUGGGGACACUGGGACUCCUCGCUCACCAGUCCUUUGGGGAAAUCGUCCUGACUCAGUCUCCAGGAUCUCAGUCUGUUUCUCCAGGACAAUCUGUUACUCUCACCUGUAGAGCCAGUCAGACUGUUAGCAAUGACCUCCAGUGGUACCUGCAGAAACCUGGAGAAGCUCCUAAACUCCUGAUCUAUAAUGAUGUUACACGUUUCACUGGGGUCCCUGAUCGUUUCAGUGGCAGUGGAUCUGACAGAGAAUUUAGUCUAAAAAUCUCUGGAGUUCAGGCUGAAGAUGCAGGAGAUUAUUACUGUCAGCAGGAUGAGACACGGCCGUACACACAGUGUUAUAGCGUGGUACAAAAACCUCCCUCAGCUGUAGAGGAAGUGCUCUGACUCAGAAACACACACUGAUCCGAGAACAGCUGCAGAGCUGCUAAAGCUGCACUCCACUGAACAUCAACUACAAACCACUACAGCACUGAGAAUUUUUCUCUUUUCACUGGAUUUACCAGACAAUUGUGUUCACAUUAGGAAUGUCCUAUUUCACACCAUGUACCAAAGAUGUACAAGUUAGCACCUAAGGGUUCCAACAAGAAGGUUGUAAUGUAUUCCCCUUCUCUCAGCGCAUAUUGUGAGACUACGGUGGUGGAUCUCUGACCCACUAGGAGGGCCUGGGGGCAUUCUCCCCAUAAGAAAAUUUAGUAAGAAAAUUGUGUACAUUAUAAAGUUAAAUGCAUCAAUGUGGUCCACUUUGAGAGCAAAAUUAAGAGGCUAGAUCUAUGGAGAACUUUGCGUUCUUGUAAAGAAUUGUGUGCUCUACUAGUAGUUUGAUCAUGACAUUGGUUGUAUAGAUAUGAACGGUGAUGACACGGUAAACAAUUCACACCCAUAAAGCCUGGUAAACGAGAGAGAGUUUAACGUAGUUCACAAACUUGACUAGAGCAAACAAUUGAGGCAUCAAAGAAAUGGAGCAUAAGUGGUUACCUGUGUUGAACUGGUUUAUUUUUUAGAAAAUAUAAAUAUAUACUGGAUGAGGAGGACAUGGUAUUGAUCAACUCUCCCUACGUCCCUAUUGGAAAACUUUAAUUUCCUGGGCUUUAAGUAAAAGAGUUCCAAUGUCCUUUUGUGACUGACUUGGAGUGAGAGAUGCUUUGCCAUUAUUAUGAGAAGUGUAAAAAUAUUUUAGUUCAUUAUGAAACUGUGGCUGGACAAAUUAGUCUGUGACGGGCCGCCGUAGUCUAGGUAAUUAAUGGGAAACACUGAAUUUGCAUUUUUAGGGGGCCCUUGGCUUCCGGGGGAGGUGGUUGCCUACCUUAGACUAGUGCUAAGUCUGCCUCUGGGUUUCAGUAUGGUUCUCAGAUUCACUAAACUAAGCAUUCUCAUGACACAGUUUCAUAACUCGUUAAGUUGAACCAGAUGUUCCUCAUCAGGUCCUGUGGGCAUUCACCUUAAAAAAGGGCAGAUCUCACACUGGUUCAAAUGCUUGUUGAAGCUGGAGUUGGACUGGAUUUAGAAUGUGUAUUUUAUGGCACAAGAGCAGAUUAUAAUAAUACUUUUGUUUGAAAAAAAUCUAAUAUAUAAUAACAGCAAAAAGCAAUACUUUCACUGUCACCAAGGCCAGUGACAACAAAUAGUCAACUGUGUAAAUGAGUAAGUUGUAGAUGUUUUUAUUUCAAUUCACAUGACACUUGAGGUAAAAGCAAUUGCAAUUGAAAUAAUUAGCAGUGCAUUUUUUAAAAAUUUCUAAUUACAAAUGUAGUCCAAACUGUGUUAAGGAAUCUUGGCAGUAGAUAAGAAAAAAAUUAUAUAUUAGAUAAGGAAAUAAGGAAGAUAAAAAUUAUAUUAUACAAAUUGGUAACAAACUUAAUUAGUGCCCUGAAUUUUAUUUUAUUCAUGAGCAUCCAGUUUCACACACUUGCAUGGAAUUUGUUAGGCAUAUGGGUCGUAUGGGUCCUAAUGUAAUAUUAGUUUAAUGUAACCGUUCCAGCAAACGUUUAGUUGUGUUUCACUGUUGAGUCGGUGAGAUCACAGAGACUGUUUGAAUGAAUUUGUUUCAUAAGUUUUAUUUUUUUAUUUACUCCAUGCAGAUCAUUAUUUCUUUGUGUGAAACAGAAACACAAGUAUUUUUGUUUUUAAUCGGUAAUCUGAGUUUAGUAUGUGAGUGAUGUCAUGGCCAGUUGGAACGGCCUGUGACUGGAGAGAGCCAGGUAUGUUUUUACAGCUCUCUGUAACAAAGGGUAAAAAUGUGUUAUAUUAAGUGAGAAUUAGAGUUAGUACCAAUUACAGAAGUGUUAUAAAGCUGGAAUGAGUUUAGAGUGUGCGUUUAGAGCACGCCUUUUCCCAAGUAAUACGAAAACAUCAUUCAGUGCAUAGAAUGUGUGUAGUUCUCAGUUAAACCUCAAUAAAGAUGUGUUUACAGUCAUAUGUGUGCCCUAGACAGUCAAUGAACUUGAAGGUACUGUGUUAAUGGGGCAGGGUUAAUAUGUUUUCUCUCAUAUACCCUUCAGCUGAAAGAACACUGAUCUGAGCUGGUGUGUGUGUUUCCACUGUCCUGUGUUUAAUAAACUGCAGGUAUGCAACAUUAAAAAAACACUAUUUCACAUAAU
This is a non-coding RNA of Ictalurus furcatus (blue catfish), 2715 nucleotides long. NCBI's taxonomy places the organism in Eukaryota, Metazoa, Chordata, Actinopteri, Siluriformes, Ictaluridae. The record is from the annotation of a RefSeq genome assembly.